GGAAAGUCAUUAUUAAGGGUGAUCUAAUGGCCCUUGUUUUUUCUAUUUUUAUUUUGAUUUUUGAUUUUAUGUUUAAUCCUUUUUUUUAAUUCAUAUUAAUUUCAUUUUUAAUCCAAAAAAUAUGUGACUUUCACCAAAAAUCUUUAAAUAUUUUUCUCUUUCAUAUUCUGAAUUAAAAUUAUUUUUUGGAUCAAUUUUGAUAUUUUUCAUCAAUUAAAUAUUUUUGUGCAUAUUUUUAAUUAUUUAAAAAUACUUAUGACUUUUCAAAAAUCA
RNAcentral lists this long non-coding RNA (273 nucleotides) under Lathyrus oleraceus (garden pea). RNAcentral describes it as "Pisum sativum (pea) long non-coding RNA (PSAT_LNC026281)". The record is from RNAcentral. Lineage: Eukaryota; Viridiplantae; Streptophyta; Magnoliopsida; Fabales; Fabaceae.